GACGAACGCUGGCGGCGUGCCUAAUACAUGCAAGUCGAGCGGACCAAAGGGAGCUUGCUCCUGGAGGUUAGCGGCGAACGGGUGAGUAACACGUGGGCAACCUGCCUGUAAGACUGGGAUAACAUCGAGAAAUCGGUGCUAAUACCGGAUAAUAAAAAGAACUGCAUGGUUCUUUUUUGAAAGAUGGUUUCGGCUAUCACUUACAGAUGGGCCCGCGGCGCAUUAGCUAGUUGGUGGGGUAACGGCUCACCAAGGCGACGAUGCGUAGCCGACCUGAGAGGGUGAUCGGCCACACUGGGACUGAGACACGGCCCAGACUCCUACGGGAGGCAGCAGUAGGGAAUCUUCCGCAAUGGACGAAAGUCUGACGGAGCAACGCCGCGUGAGUGAUGAAGGUUUUCGGAUCGUAAAACUCUGUUGUUAGGGAAGAACAAGUGCCGUUCGAAAGGGCGGCGACCUUGACGGUACCUAACGAGAAAGCCACGGCUAACUACGUGCCAGCAGCCGCGGUAAAGUC
RNAcentral lists this ribosomal RNA (517 nucleotides) under uncultured bacterium. Its description in RNAcentral is "bacterial SSU rRNA". It matches the Rfam family "Bacterial small subunit ribosomal RNA", at positions 28 to 526 of the family's 1533-position model. The record is from RNAcentral.